AGAGUUUGAUCCUGGCUCAGGAUGAACGCUGGCGGCGUGCUUAACACAUGCAAGUCGAACGAGCCUUCGGGCUAGUGGCGGACGGGUGGGUAACGCGUGAGAAUCUGCCCUCAGGAGGGGGAUAACGGCUGGAAACGGCCGCUAAUACCCCAUAUGCCGCGAGGUGAAAUGAGAAAUCGCCUGAGGAUGAGCUCGCGUCUGAUUAGCUAGUUGGUGGGGUAAGAGCCUACCAAGGCAUCGAUCAGUAGCUGGCCUGAGAGGAUGAUCAGCCACACUGGGACUGAGACACGGCCCAGACUCCUACGGGAGGCAGCAGUGGGGAAUUUUCCGCAAUGGGCGCAAGCCUGACGGAGCAACGCCGCGUGAGGGAUGAAGGCCUCUGGGCUGUAAACCUCUUUUCUCAAGGAAGAAGAACUGACGGUACUUGAGGAAUAAGCCACGGCUAAUUCCGUGCCAGCAGCCGCGGUAAUACGGGAGUGGCAAGCGUUAUCCGGAAUUAUUGGGCGUAAAGCGUCCGCAGGCGGUCUUGAAAGUCUGUUGUUAAAGCGUGGAGCUCAACUCCAUUUCAGCAAUGGAAACUAGAAGACUAGAGUGUGGUAGGGGCAGAGGGAAUUCCCGGUGUAGCGGUGAAAUGCGUAGAUAUCGGGAAGAACACCAGUGGCGAAGGCGCUCUGCUGGGCCAUAACUGACGCUCAUGGACGAAAGCCAGGGGAGCGAAAGGGAUUAGAUACCCCUGUAGUCCUGGCCGUAAACGAUGAACACUAGGUGUCGGGGGAAUCGACCCCCUCGGUGUCGUAGCCAACGCGUUAAGUGUUCCGCCUGGGGAGUACGCACGCAAGUGUGAAACUCAAAGGAAUUGACGGGGGCCCGCACAAGCGGUGGAGUAUGUGGUUUAAUUCGAUGCAACGCGAAGAACCUUACCAGGGUUUGACAUCCUGCGAAUCUUUUGGUAACAGAAGAGUGCCUUCGGGAGCGCAGAGACAGGUGGUGCAUGGCUGUCGUCAGCUCGUGUCGUGAGAUGUUGGGUUAAGUCCCGCAACGAGCGCAACCCACGUCUUUAGUUGCCAGCAUUAAGUUGGGCACUCUAGAGAGACCGCCGGUGAUAAACCGGAGGAAGGUGUGGAUGACGUCAAGUCAUCAUGCCCCUUACAUCCUGGGCUACACACGUACUACAAUGCUACGGACAGAGGGCAGCAAACUCGCGAGAGCUAGCAAAUCCCAUAAACCGUGGCUCAGUUCAGAUCGUAGGCUGCAACUCGCCUACGUGAAGGAGGAAUCGCUAGUAAUCGCAGGUCAGCAUACUGCGGUGAAUACGUUCCCGGGCCUUGUACACACCGCCCGUCACACCAUGGAAGUUGGCCAUGCCCGAAGUCG
This 1374-nucleotide ribosomal RNA is filed under the name metagenome. RNAcentral describes it as "bacterial SSU rRNA". It matches the Rfam family "Bacterial small subunit ribosomal RNA". The record is from RNAcentral.